UAAAUGUUUACCUCAUGGAACUAAUCUCUUUUUAUAAACAAAAAAUUAAACCCGUAUUAAUCCUCAGGGCCUUUCAGAAGCUGGUGAAAACAUGACUGCUGCAGAAAGCCUUUGAGGAUUGAUAUCUCAUGUUGGAUGACCCAGGCGUACUGACCAAAUGGUUAGCUUGGUCCUUUGGUUAAGACAGGGAUGACAACCCGUUUUGGCACCAAAUGCUGAAAGAGGAGAUGACUGUCCGGUUUCCGGCGUGCACUUCCAGUUUCUGGCACACAGGCUCAUGUUGCUUGUCUCCUUUCCAUCCGUCACUGAUGAUCAGCAUAAACAGAAGAUUUUAGGAGGCUGAAGAUGAGGUGACAAAUAUGGAAUCUGGGAUUGGGAACGUGUGUUCUAGCUAAAUUUCCCCCUCCGUGUGGAAGGAUUGUCUUCUAUCAUAUAGAUACCAGAAGUUCUGCUGAACAUCUACAUGUGAACAUGAAAAUUAUUCUCACUGAAUUUUGGUAUGUAGUUAAGAUAGCAAAUUGUGGUGGCUUUCCUACUGAAACACCAAGUACACUCCAGUUUGGGGGACAGUAUACAAGUACAAUACAAUAGCAGAGUUGGAAGGGACCUUGGAGGUCUUCUAGUCCAAACCCCUGCCUAGG
Long non-coding RNA from Thamnophis elegans (Western terrestrial garter snake), 641 nucleotides. RefSeq lists it as uncharacterized. The transcript is spliced from 3 exons. NCBI's taxonomy places the organism in Eukaryota, Metazoa, Chordata, Lepidosauria, Squamata, Natricidae. The record is from RefSeq and is a predicted model, not a curated record.